GGAUGUGAGGGCGAUCUGGCUGCGACAUCUGUCACCCCAUUGAUCUCCAGGGUUGAUUCGGCUGAUCUGGCUGGUUAGGCGGGUGUCCCCUUCCUCCCUCACCGCUCCAUGUGCGUCCCUCCCGAAGCUGCACGCUCGGUCGAAGAAGACGGCCUUCCCCAAAUAGAGACGGACCGGUCUUUGGUCGAGGGUAUACGAGUAGCUGCGCUUCCCUGCUAGAACCUCCAAACAAGCUCUCAGGUCCAAAUUCAUCCCUCUCUCACUCAAUACUUUUUUCUUCAGUUUCCAUCCCAGGUGAGGCAAAGAUUGGACUUUAAG
RNAcentral lists this small nuclear RNA (318 nucleotides) under Erinaceus europaeus (western European hedgehog). Its description in RNAcentral is "7SK RNA". It matches the Rfam family "7SK RNA", at positions 1 to 253 of the family's 331-position model. Rfam says of the family: 7SK was discovered as an abundant small nuclear RNA in the mid-70s but a possible function has only recently been suggested. Two independent studies have found that 7SK RNA binds the CDK9/cyclin T complex (known as elongation factor P-TEFb). P-TEFb activates transcription by phosphorylating the C-terminal domain of RNA polymerase II. The record is from Rfam by way of RNAcentral. Lineage: Eukaryota; Metazoa; Chordata; Mammalia; Eulipotyphla; Erinaceidae.